CAUCCUUGAUCGGAAGGUCCGGGUAAUCUUUUGAAACUUCAUCGUGCUGGGGAUAGUCCCUUGCAAUUUUUGGACUUAAACGAGGAAUUCCUAGUAAGCGUGAGUCAUCAACUCGCGUUGAUUACGUCCCUGCCCUUUGUACACACCGCCCGUCGCUACUACCGAUUGAAUGGCUUAGUGAAUCCUUCGGAUUGGCUAUUUUUUUCUGGCAACAGAAUUAAACUGCUAAAAAGUUGGGCAAACUUGGUCAUUUAGAGGAAGUAAAAGUCGUAACAAGGUUUCCGUAGGUGAACCUGCGGAAGGAUCAUUAAAAAAUAUCGCUCGAUUGAGAGUGAUUUAAUAAUCAUCCUACCCUUUGUGAAUUUGUUGUUUGUAAUAAUUUUUUUUUGACGUGGAAUAAAAAAAAAAAUUAUUUAUGGUUUUGUCUAUCCCUAAAUUGGUUUGUUUGUUGUAAAAGACAAGUGAAUCAUUUAGGGAAUAGGCUUUCCUAAAUAAUUGAUUUUUUUUUUCCAAUGUCUUAAAAGACCUUUUUUUAAAAUUAAACUUUUGUAUUCAUUUGUCUAAAAUAAUUUUUAAAAUAAUUUAAAAACAACUUUUGACAAUGGAUCUCUUGGUUCUCGCAACGAUGAAGAACGCAGCAAAAUGCGAUAAGUAAUGUGAAUUGCAGAAUACGUGAAUCAUCAAAUCUUCGAACGCAUAUUGCAC
Molecule: ribosomal RNA, 705 nt
Filed under: Neocallimastix frontalis
Lineage: Eukaryota; Fungi; Neocallimastigomycota; Neocallimastigomycetes; Neocallimastigales; Neocallimastigaceae
Description: bacterial SSU rRNA
Rfam family: Eukaryotic small subunit ribosomal RNA (bases 1-310)
Source: RNAcentral